Molecule: transfer RNA, 85 nt
Filed under: Micavibrio aeruginosavorus
Lineage: Bacteria; Pseudomonadati; Bdellovibrionota; Bdellovibrionia; Bdellovibrionales; Pseudobdellovibrionaceae
Description: tRNA-Leu
Rfam family: tRNA
About the family: Transfer RNA (tRNA) molecules are approximately 80 nucleotides in length. Their secondary structure includes four short double-helical elements and three loops (D, anti-codon, and T loops).
Source: RNAcentral
GCGGGUGUGGUGAAAUUGGUAGACGCGCCAGACUCAAAAUCUGGUUCCGCAAGGAGUGCCGGUUCGAUUCCGGCCACCCGCACCA